UGUAAAGGUAAAAUUGCAACGUGCUCGU
RNAcentral lists this small RNA (28 nucleotides) under Bombyx mori (domestic silkworm). Its description in RNAcentral is "piRNA piR-bmo-2098836". The record is from RNAcentral. Lineage: Eukaryota; Metazoa; Arthropoda; Insecta; Lepidoptera; Bombycidae.